This 22-nucleotide small nuclear RNA is filed under the name Arabidopsis thaliana (thale cress). RNAcentral describes it as "snRNA_13320". The record is from RNAcentral. Lineage: Eukaryota; Viridiplantae; Streptophyta; Magnoliopsida; Brassicales; Brassicaceae.
UGGCAACUGCAAGAAUAUGUUA